GUUUGAUCCUGGCUCAGGACGAACCCUGGCGGCGUGCCUCAUACAUGCAAGUGGAGCGACGAACCCGGAUUUAUCCUGGGGCAAAGCCGCGAACGGGUGAGUAACACGUGGGUUACCUGCCCCGAUGAUUGGGACAACCCGAGGAAACUCGGGCUAAUACCAAAUGUGUUCUUGGUCGUGAUGACCAAGAAGAAAGGAAGCCUCGGCCUCCGCAUCGGGAUGGGCCCGCGGCCCAUUAGCUAGUUGGUGGGGUAAUGGCCUACCAAGGCGACGAUGGGUAGCUGGUCUGAGAGGACGAUCAGCCACACUGGGACUGAGACACGGCCCAGACUCCUACGGGAGGCAGCAGUAGGGAAUCUUGCGCAAUGCGCGAAAGCGUGACGCAGCAACGCCGCGUGGGGGAAGAAGGCUCUCGGGUUGUAAACCCCUUUCAGUUGGGACGAAGCUUCGUCGGUUAAUAGCCGGCUGGAGUGACGGAACCUUCACAAGAAGCACCGGCUAACUACGUGCCAGCAACCGCGGUAAUACGUAGGGUGCAAGCGUUGUCCGGAAUUAUUGGGCGU
RNAcentral lists this ribosomal RNA (563 nucleotides) under uncultured Actinomycetes bacterium. RNAcentral describes it as "bacterial SSU rRNA". It matches the Rfam family "Bacterial small subunit ribosomal RNA", at positions 11 to 561 of the family's 1533-position model. The record is from RNAcentral. Lineage: Bacteria; Bacillati; Actinomycetota; Actinomycetes.